AUGAGCUGGAAUUCUGGACAGAGCCUUCCCACUGUGCUCUUACGCAGAGCAGUACUUCGGGUCAGGUACCCGGCUCACCGUGUUAGGCAGGGUUUGUGCGGGGGUCCCCAGGGCUGUGCGAACACCGGGCAGCUGUUCUUUGGGGACGGCUCCAAGCUGACUGUGCUAGGGCGCAGGACCGCGGCGCGGGUUUUUGUGCGGGGCUGGGGGGCUGUGAACCAACAGACCCAGUACUUCGGGCCCGGCACGCGGCUCCUGGUGCUAGUGCCCGCGGGACCCGGAGCCCGGCGGCGCGGACCGGGUGGAAGGCGGCGGUUCCGGUUUCGCGGCACUGGGUCCCCUGAGACCGCCUGGAGCUCGGGACGGGCUGGGCGCCUGGGGGGUGGAGCAGCUCGAGCGCUGCGGGAGUUUUCGUGCGGGUCUCAGGCUCCGUGCUCCUAUGAGCAGCACUUCGGGCCGGGAACCAGGCUCACGGUCAUAGAUGACCUGAAGAAGGUGACCCUACCCAAGGUGGCUGUAUUUGAACCCUCGGAAGCAGAGAUUGCCCGGACCCAAAAGGCCACACUCGUGUGCCUGGCCACGGGCUUCUACCCUGACCAUGUGGAGUUGAGCUGGUGGGUGAACGGGAAGGAGGUGCAGAGUGGGGUCAGCACAGACCCUCAGCCCUACAAGGAGAACCCCAAAGACAGUGACUCCAAGUACUGCCUGAGCAGCCGCCUAAGGGUCUCGGCCGCCUUCUGGCAUAACCCCCGCAACCACUUCCGCUGCCAAGUCCAGUUCUACGGGCUUGACGAGCAAGACAACUGGACCCUGCCUUGGGACAAACCCCUCACCCAGAAGAUCAGUGCCGAGGCCCAGGGCAGAGCAGACUGUGGCUUCACCUCAGUGUCCUAUCAGCAAGGGGUCCUGUCUGCCACCAUCCUCUAUGAGAUCCUGCUGGGGAAGGCCACCGUGUAUGCUGUGCUGGUCAGCGCCCUGGUGCUCAUGGCCAUGGUCAAGAGAAAGGACUCCUGAGGCCAGCUGCAAAGUGCAUCCUGAGUCAUUCUUCAUCCUCAGCUGGAUUGUCCAGUAACUGCUCCCAACUGUGUUCCUGAAGAGUUACUCUCUUUCUACCUCUCACCCCCUUCCUAUAUGAAUAUCUGAUAUCCGUCUCUUCUUUCUGUUUCCCCUGCUGACUGAGCUCCCAGCCCCCAAGUCUGUAAUCAACUUAGCCAAUAAAGAUGGCCCACUGGGCCUG
Non-coding RNA from Nycticebus coucang (slow loris), 1237 nucleotides. The record is from the annotation of a RefSeq genome assembly. NCBI's taxonomy places the organism in Eukaryota, Metazoa, Chordata, Mammalia, Primates, Lorisidae.